This 493-nucleotide ribosomal RNA is filed under the name uncultured bacterium. RNAcentral's name for it is "partial 16S ribosomal RNA". It matches the Rfam family "Bacterial small subunit ribosomal RNA", at positions 30 to 523 of the family's 1533-position model. The record is from RNAcentral.
AUUGAACGCUGGCGGCAUGCCUUACACAUGCAAGUCGAACGGUAACAGGUUAAGCUGACGAGUGGCGAACGGGUGAGUAAUAUAUCGGAACGUGCCCAGUCGUGGGGGAUAACGCAGCGAAAGCUGUGCUAAUACCGCAUACGAUCUAUGGAUGAAAGCGGGGGAUCGCAAGACCUCGCGCGAUUGGAGCGGCCGAUAUCAGAUUAGCUAGCUGGUGGGGUAAAGGCUCACCAAGCCGACGAUCUGUAGCUGGUCUGAGAGGACGACCAGCCACACUGGGACUGAGACACGGCCCAGACUCCUACGGGAGGCAGCAGUGGGGAAUUUUGGACAAUGGGCGCAAGCCUGAUCCAGCCAUUCCGCGUGCAGGAUGAAGGCCCUCGGGUUGUAAACUGCUUUUGUACGGAACGAAAAGGCUCUGGUUAAUACCUGGGGCUCAUGACGGUACCGUAAGAAUAAGCACCGGCUAACUACGUGCCAGCCGCCGCCGUAA